This 593-nucleotide ribosomal RNA is filed under the name Salmonella enterica subsp. enterica serovar Enteritidis. RNAcentral describes it as "partial 23S ribosomal RNA". It matches the Rfam family "Bacterial large subunit ribosomal RNA", at positions 161 to 653 of the family's 2925-position model. The record is from RNAcentral. Lineage: Bacteria; Pseudomonadati; Pseudomonadota; Gammaproteobacteria; Enterobacterales; Enterobacteriaceae.
AAUCCAUAGGUUAAUGAGGCGAACCGGGGGAACUGAAACAUCUAAGUACCCCGAGGAAAAGAAAUCAACCGAGAUUCCCCCAGUAGCGGCGAGCGAACGGGGAGGAGCCCAGAGCCUGAAUCAGCAUGUGUGUUAGUGGAAGCGUCUGGAAAGGCGCGCGAUACAGGGUGACAGCCCCGUACACAAAAGCGCAUGUGCUGUGAGCUCGAUGAGUAGGGCGGGACACGUGGUAUCCUGUCUGAAUAUGGGGGGACCAUCCUCCAAGGCUAAAUACUCCUGACUGACCGAUAGUGAACCAGUACCGUGAGGGAAAGGCGAAAAGAACCCCGGCGAGGGGAGUGAAAAAGAACCUGAAACCGUGUACGUACAAGCAGUGGGAGCCCCACCACCAAAGCAUUUGCUGUACCGCGUUGACGGAGCGAAGCGACGUCAAACCGAUAAAACAGCAGUGUAAAGUGAGCCGCAGGGCGCUUUGCGCGACAGCGCAAAGGCAGGCGGUUUCGCGUAGCGAAAGCGAAUGCUUUGGGGUGGGGUGACUGCGUACCUUUUGUAUAAUGGGUCAGCGACUUAUAUUCUGUAGCAAGGUUAACCGA